Molecule: long non-coding RNA, 814 nt
Organism: Girardinichthys multiradiatus
Lineage: Eukaryota; Metazoa; Chordata; Actinopteri; Cyprinodontiformes; Goodeidae
Exons: 3
Source: RefSeq, a predicted model, not a curated record
AACGUUGUCCAAGGGCGAUGAAGUUCGAAUAAACGUCCACAGUCAACAAGCGGUUGGCUUUCAGCUAACCUCUGCGUUCGCUCUGCAAUAGCGUUAGCUCCGGAGGGCUGGGCGGCUGUUCGGUACCGUAACAUGGUGGUGCAAGCCGUAGUCCGUCCUUGCGGCUCGGCUUGUAGAAACAGCUUCUCCACCGCGAUCUCUCCUCGAUACAGUUUUGCUUCUGUGGGGCCUCGAAGAGAAAAUACCUGGCCAGUUGGAGACCAGUCACGUCCCCUGCCCUGAAAGCUACAUCUCUGGCUGUCAGCAGUGAGCGCACCUCUGUGGUUAUCCAGGGCUAUCCAGGGUUUCACGUCGGUGAAGAUGGCAUGACUGUUCCAACACAUAGCCACAAAGUGGGUGACCUGCCUUGAGCUUCCUCACCGCUGCUGACACCACCAACAACAGCCCAGUCUGAGUAUUUCCGUGGUUGACAGGGCUCCGAGUUAAUCUGGAAGUCUGAGGUGCAGUGGGUGAGCAAGAACUGUCAGAGUCCAGUCCCCUGUGGUGCCCUGUCCUGCUGACCACCCUUUCAGAAACACAACCCUUCAGCUGCACAAAUAGUUGUCUGUCUGUCUGUCAGGUAGUCAGCCACACUGUGAUGUGUGGAGGCAUCCACCUGCAUCUACAGGAGCUUCUCAAACAGUAGUGCAGGUUGAAAUAUUGUAGAUCAAGGCAGACAAUCUUUAAAAUGCUGCUUGCUUUGAUCAGCUGAAGGGAGGUUCGCUAAAUGAGGUGAAUAAUUCCAUCUCCAUCUCCCAGGGAGAUAAGUAACCAU